Molecule: ribosomal RNA, 465 nt
Filed under: uncultured bacterium
Lineage: Bacteria
Description: partial 16S ribosomal RNA
Rfam family: Bacterial small subunit ribosomal RNA
Source: RNAcentral
GACGAACGCUGGCGGCGUGCUUAACACAUGCAAGUCGUACGGUAAGGCCCUUUCGGGGGUACACGAGUGGCGAACGGGUGAGUAACACGUGAGUAACCUGCCCACAACUUUGGGAUAACGCUAGGAAACUGGUGCUAAUACUGGAUAUGUGCUCCUGCUGCAUGGUGGGGGUUGGAAAGCUCCGGCGGUUGUGGAUGGACUCGCGGCCUAUCAGCUUGUUGGUGGGGUAGUGGCCUACCAAGGCGGCGACGGGUAGCCGGCCUGAGAGGGUGACCGGCCACAUUGGGACUGAGAUACGGCCCAGACUCCUACGGGAGGCAGCAGUGGGGAAUAUUGCACAAUGGGCGCAAGCCUGAUGCAGCAACGCCGCGUGCGGGACGACGGCCUUCGGGUUGUAAACCGCUUUCAGCAGGGACGAAGCUUUUUGUGACGGUACCUGCAGAAGAAGCACCGGCUAACUACGUG